GCGGUGUCCCAUACCGACCUAGAGGAGCCUGUCCUAUAAUCGAUAAUCCACGUUUUACCCCACCACCUCUUGCAAUUCAACCUAUAUACCGCCGUCGCCAGCCUACCUUAUGAAAGAAAAAAAGUAAGCAAAAUAGUUAACAACUAAAACGUCAGGUCAAGGUGUAGUACAUGGGGUGGAAGAGAUGGGCUACACUUUCUACCACAGAACACACGAACAGUACAGUGAAACCUCUACUCAAAGGCGGAUUUAGCAGUAAGAUAAACAAGAAACUCUAUCUGAAACCCGCUCUGGGACGCGCACACACCGCCCGUCACCCUCAUCACACACCACCCAAAACCUAAAAUAUAAGACCCAAGAAAAACAGAUGAGGAAAGUCGUAACAUGGUAAGCGCACCGGAAGGCGCGCUUGGAGUACAAAAAGUAGCUUAACACAAAGCAUUCAGCUUACAAUUGAAAUAUGUUAGUAAGACCUAACCUUUUUGA
This 486-nucleotide ribosomal RNA is filed under the name Trachylepis tavaratra. Its description in RNAcentral is "partial 12S ribosomal RNA". The stretch from base 1 to 425 matches the Rfam family "Bacterial small subunit ribosomal RNA", at positions 913 to 1533 of the family's 1533-position model. Lineage: Eukaryota; Metazoa; Chordata; Lepidosauria; Squamata; Scincidae. The record is from RNAcentral.